AUGUAAUAUUUGUGGUAUAAAGCAUAAUGACAUUGUCUUCUCUCUCACCCUACUCUAAUAAGGCUUUUAUAUCUAGAGCGCAUAGGUGGGAGAUAAAGUAUACAUACUUACAAGAUAUUUAUUGCAUAGUCAAACCAUGGAUCCAAAGAAACAAAUCAAUAAGCCAAAUCAAGAUGUGCAUGUGUGGCGAAUGAAUGGUGUAUGGUGAUGAUGGUGAUAACAAUGGUGAAAACAAUGGUGAUGGAAGUCUAAUUCUACUUUGCUCUUUGAGGGGAUACAUACCUUUCUUGCUUUUGAAAUUUUGAGGAGAAUGAGAUGCUCUUCUUUUUCUUUUCUCUCAGGUGGGCAUCUUGUACCCCUAAUUCUACUGUCGGACACUUGUCCAUUUUUACCUCUCGUCUCACUCUUUCUUUUCUUUCGAGGUUCCGAGCACUUGCUCCUUUUUAUUUCCUCGUAUCUCUUUUUUUUUAGAAAGCAUUCAUCUCUUGAGAUAAUAUAGCAAGUGGUUGUAACAAGAUAACUUGAGCAUUUAUUUCACAAGGGGAAACAGAAAUAUUUUUGGCUAUUCUCUCCCGGAUUAGGAGUAGAAUAUUUUUGGGUGAUUCUGGAGAUGGAAUGGGUGAAUAUAUGUGGAUGGUACUUCCGGAGUAGAAGUAGCAUAUAUGAGUGAACGUGCAAGUGAAAUCUUGAUUUAACCACAUGACAAGCUCCUAAGGGUCUACACAGCUUGACCACACUCAAUGCUCAUAAGCAGUAAAUAAUAAAUGUGUGGCUCAAAGUCUAACAAGCAUGUAUAUAUGGCUGUGGUAGGAAUUUAAACUCUCAUCAUACAGGAACUCAUCAUGCAACAUUUUAAAGAUUUUUAAAGAUAAAAUUCUCCAGAAUUCUAGCAUCUCUAGGAACAGAUAAACAGC
This 914-nucleotide long non-coding RNA is filed under the name Sorghum bicolor (sorghum). Its description in RNAcentral is "long non-coding RNA (SBIC_LNC017218)". The record is from RNAcentral. Lineage: Eukaryota; Viridiplantae; Streptophyta; Magnoliopsida; Poales; Poaceae.